This is a long non-coding RNA of Lacerta agilis (Sand lizard), 229 nucleotides long. RefSeq lists it as uncharacterized. NCBI's taxonomy places the organism in Eukaryota, Metazoa, Chordata, Lepidosauria, Squamata, Lacertidae. The record is from RefSeq and is a predicted model, not a curated record. The transcript is spliced from 3 exons.
GGAGGAAGCUGACAGCCAGAGCCACCCAUUGAUUAGACUACAAUAAUUGAAAGGAUAAAGUUAUCUUCUCACCACCAGCUAUCCCCGGCUCACUCUGGGACAAUCUGGGAAGGCAGAGAGUAAAGACACUAAACGGCACCAAAGCCAGCAAGCCUCUGGGUAGGAAGAAAGAGCACCCAGGGGUCACACCCUGCCUAAUCAAGAGGUGAAGAUUAUGCAGCAGACAGAA